GGUUAAGCGACUAAGCGUACACGGUGGAUGCCCUGGCAGUCAGAGGCGAUGAAGGACGUGCUAAUCUGCGAUAAGCGUCGGUAAGGUGAUAUGAACCGUUAUAACCGGCGAUUUCCGAAUGGGGAAACCCAGUGUGUUUCGACACACUAUCAUUAACUGAAUCCAUAGGUUAAUGAGGCGAACCGGGGGAACUGAAACAUCUAAGUACCCCGAGGAAAAGAAAUCAACCGAGAUUCCCCCAGUAGCGGCGAGCGAACGGGGAGCAGCCCAGAGCCUGAAUCAGUGUGUGUGUUAGUGGAAACGUCUGGAAAGGCGCGCGAUACAGGGUGACAGCCCCGUACACAAAAAUGCACAUGCUGUGAGCUCGAUGAGUAGGGCGGGACACGUGGUAUCCUGUCUGAAUAUGGGGGGACCAUCCUCCAAGGCUAAAUACUCCUGACUGACCGAUAGUGAACCAGUACCGUGAGGGAAAGGCGAAAAGAACCCCGGCGAGGGGAGUGAAAAAGAACCUGAAACCGUGUACGUACAAGCAGUGGGAGCACGCUUAGGCGUGUGACUGCGUACCUUUUGUAUAAUGGGUCAGCGACUUAUAUUCUGUAGCAAGGUUAACCGAAUAGGGGAGCCGAAGGGAAACCGAGUCUUAACUGGGCGUUAAGUUGCAGGGUAUAGACCCGAAACCCGGUGAUCUAGCCAUGGGCAGGUUGAAGGUUGGGUAACACUAACUGGAGGACCGAACCGACUAAUGUUGAAAAAUUAGCGGAUGACUUGUGGCUGGGGGUGAAAGGCCAAUCAAACCGGGAGAUAGCUGGUUCUCCCCGAAAGCUAUUUAGGUAGCGCCUCGUGAAUUCAUCUCCGGGGGUAGAGCACUGUUUCGGCAAGGGGGUCAUCCCGACUUACCAACCCGAUGCAAACUGCGAAUACCGGAGAAUGUUAUCACGGGAGACACACGGCGGGUGCUAACGUCCGUCGUGAAGAGGGAAACAACCCAGACCGCCAGCUAAGGUCCCAAAGUCAUGGUUAAGUGGGAAACGAUGUGGGAAGGCCCAGACAGCCAGGAUGUUGGCUUAGAAGCAGCCAUCAUUUAAAGAAAGCGUAAUAGCUCACUGGUCGAGUCGGCCUGCGCGGAAGAUGUAACGGGGCUAAACCAUGCACCGAAGCUGCGGCAGCGACACUAUGUGUUGUUGGGUAGGGGAGCGUUCUGUAAGCCUGUGAAGGUGUGCUGUGAGGCAUGCUGGAGGUAUCAGAAGUGCGAAUGCUGACAUAAGUAACGAUAAAGCGGGUGAAAAGCCCGCUCGCCGGAAGACCAAGGGUUCCUGUCCAACGUUAAUCGGGGCAGGGUGAGUCGACCCCUAAGGCGAGGCCGAAAGGCGUAGUCGAUGGGAAACAGGUUAAUAUUCCUGUACUUGGUGUUACUGCGAAGGGGGGACGGAGAAGGCUAUGUUGGCCGGGCGACGGUUGUCCCGGUUUAAGCGUGUAGGCUGGUUUUCCAGGCAAAUCCGGAAAAUCAAGGCUGAGGCGUGAUGACGAGGCACUACGGUGCUGAAGCAACAAAUGCCCUGCUUCCAGGAAAAGCCUCUAAGCAUCAGGUAACAUCAAAUCGUACCCCAAACCGACACAGGUGGUCAGGUAGAGAAUACCAAGGCGCUUGAGAGAACUCGGGUGAAGGAACUAGGCAAAAUGGUGCCGUAACUUCGGGAGAAGGCACGCUGAUAUGUAGGUGAGGUCCCUCGCGGAUGGAGCUGAAAUCAGUCGAAGAUACCAGCUGGCUGCAACUGUUUAUUAAAAACACAGCACUGUGCAAACACGAAAGUGGACGUAUACGGUGUGACGCCUGCCCGGUGCCGGAAGGUUAAUUGAUGGGGUUAGCGCAAGCGAAGCUCUUGAUCGAAGCCCCGGUAAACGGCGGCCGUAACUAUAACGGUCCUAAGGUAGCGAAAUUCCUUGUCGGGUAAGUUCCGACCUGCACGAAUGGCGUAAUGAUGGCCAGGCUGUCUCCACCCGAGACUCAGUGAAAUUGAACUCGCUGUGAAGAUGCAGUGUACCCGCGGCAAGACGGAAAGACCCCGUGAACCUUUACUAUAGCUUGACACUGAACAUUGAGCCUUGAUGUGUAGGAUAGGUGGGAGGCUUAGAAGUGUGGACGCCAGUCUGCAUGGAGCCGACCUUGAAAUACCACCCUUUAAUGUUUGAUGUUCUAACGUUGACCCGUAAUCCGGGUUGCGGACAGUGUCUGGUGGGUAGUUUGACUGGGGCGGUCUCCUCCUAAAGAGUAACGGAGGAGCACGAAGGUUGGCUAAUCCUGGUCGGACAUCAGGAGGUUAGUGCAAUGGCAUAAGCCAGCUUGACUGCGAGCGUGACGGCGCGAGCAGGUGCGAAAGCAGGUCAUAGUGAUCCGGUGGUUCUGAAUGGAAGGGCCAUCGCUCAACGGAUAAAAGGUACUCCGGGGAUAACAGGCUGAUACCGCCCAAGAGUUCAUAUCGACGGCGGUGUUUGGCACCUCGAUGUCGGCUCAUCACAUCCUGGGGCUGAAGUAGGUCCCAAGGGUAUGGCUGUUCGCCAUUUAAAGUGGUACGCGAGCUGGGUUUAGAACGUCGUGAGACAGUUCGGUCCCUAUCUGCCGUGGGCGCUGGAGAACUGAGGGGGGCUGCUCCUAGUACGAGAGGACCGGAGUGGACGCAUCACUGGUGUUCGGGUUGUCAUGCCAAUGGCACUGCCCGGUAGCUAAAUGCGGAAGAGAUAAGUGCUGAAAGCAUCUAAGCACGAAACUUGCCCCGAGAUGAGUUCUCCCUGACUCCUUGAGAGUCCUGAAGGAACGUUGAAGACGACGACGUUGAUAGGCCGGGUGUGUAAGCGCAGCGAUGCGUUGAGCUAACCGGUACUAAUGAACCGUGAGGCUUAACCUU
RNAcentral lists this ribosomal RNA (2903 nucleotides) under Escherichia coli 2.4168. RNAcentral's name for it is "bacterial LSU rRNA". It matches the Rfam family "Bacterial large subunit ribosomal RNA". Lineage: Bacteria; Pseudomonadati; Pseudomonadota; Gammaproteobacteria; Enterobacterales; Enterobacteriaceae. The record is from RNAcentral.